CAAAGCAUACCUUUCUCGGCCUUUUGGCUAAGAUCAAGUGUAGUAUCUGUUCUUAUCAGUUUAAUAUCUGAUAUGUGGACCAUGCGUCCACUUCGAUAUUAAAUUUAUUUUUUGUGGGGGAGGGACCACCACAGUGGCUUGCCACUGGGUCCCUCGGGCGUCGCUCAGGCGUUGCACUGCUGCCCGGGCCUGGCGCACCCCAACCAAAUCUAAAUCAAAGUUAUUUUUCAGCUUAACCUUGAGCGGGCUGCUCUACGCGAACUUGAUUUCUUUCAGGUGGAGGGCAUCUGCGGCGGCACAGCUUGUGCCCAAGUGAUACCGGCCGGAUUAGCUUGGUAUCUCCGCUUGCCGGCGCGGAGCCGUCGGGUCUCCACGCGCCGUGCCCUGCCCUGCCCGGCCCCCGUCGGCUGGAGCCUGGAGGCCUUGGCGGCCCUGGCGCCUUGACUUCCGGAGCCUGCGGCGGUGGUUGAGAUGUCGGAGGAGCUGCAGCGACCGACCCUGACAAAGCCACUUCCCAGUUCCCAUGGCCUUGACUUCUGGAGCCGCCGGCGGUGGGUGAGAUGUCGGAGCUGCAGCGACCGACCCCGACAAAGCCACUUCCCAGUUCCCAUGGCCGUCAGGAGCAGAUCUCUCUCUCAGAGCAGGUGCUCCAUCUCGAUCUAGCGCUGAUCUCUGGUUUGUUUUGUAAUACUCGAUUACGGUUGUAGCCUCUAAUGUCUAAAAUGCAUUCAGAGUUUAGUUCUGAUCAGGUGACCAGUGGUAACCAUGAAAAAUCAGAAAAUGCACUGGAAAUUCUUAAUUUGGGAUGUCAAAACUGUAGGUUGCCAACUGAGGGGACAGACAGAUGUUGAAAAGUCUUCGUUGGUGACCAUAUUUUGGGAACUGCUGCAAAUGCUUCUUUUUGUUGGUUAAUCAAACAAAAAGGAUGUUCCAUGGAUCAGGUGGAGCAUAUGUUAUAUGCGAUGUUUGCUAGUAAAAAUGCCUGCAGAGCAUUGUCAAAGAUGUCCUUUGAGCUGCAGGAUCUGAAUGGUGGCUUUACGCAAAUCAAGCUCGGCUCCUUGAACGACUUGGAGUGAAGAUGGGAACCAUGAAAAGAACAGCCCCUGCAGAAGAAGGUUGCGCUAGCUAGCUUGAUCCUAAGCCCGAGCUGAAUGAAGAUGACGCACAAUGAAAACAAACAAACAUCUAAGUUCUGAGUUCUGAGCUGAAUGCAUGGACAUCACCAUGAAGUUGCUGAUGAAUGUUCCUGAGGGAGUUAAAAAAUAUUUGAAUACCUCCUUGCGCACGUCAGGUCUAAUGCUUGCAGAAAUGAUGCUUUAAUUUUACAUGUCUGCUGAGGUGUGAGUUGUGAGCUGCUAUAAAAUUGAAUGGUUGGAUAUGAUGGAUCCAUGAUCUAGUUCCAUGGUCUUCAUGUUGAAAAACGAGAUGCAUUGUUCCAUCAUGUAUGCAGAUCUCCCCUGUAGCAACUUCCAAUGUUUGAGCAGCUUGCCCAAUUUCCAGUGUUUAUUUAGUAUAUAUGGCCAAUAUUUCCAGUAUUUCAUUCAUACAUAAGUUCUUAGCCACAAUGUAACUGAGGAGCAGAUGAAGAUCGACGAGCGAUUUGCUCUUGUAUACGGAAAGAACAACAUUGAUUACCAGACUACCUCUUUCUAUUUACUGGUUGAGAGUCUUUGUGACUUC
Molecule: long non-coding RNA, 1680 nt
Organism: Setaria italica (foxtail millet)
Lineage: Eukaryota; Viridiplantae; Streptophyta; Magnoliopsida; Poales; Poaceae
Exons: 2
Source: RefSeq, a predicted model, not a curated record